GAGGGUAUAGCUCAGUGGUAGAGUACAUGCCUAGCAUGCACAAGGUCCUGGAUUCAAUCCCCAGUACCUCCA
RNAcentral lists this transfer RNA (72 nucleotides) under Camelus bactrianus (Bactrian camel). It matches the Rfam family "tRNA". From Rfam's summary of the family: Transfer RNA (tRNA) molecules are approximately 80 nucleotides in length. Their secondary structure includes four short double-helical elements and three loops (D, anti-codon, and T loops). RNAcentral also lists the same sequence under 1 other name. Lineage: Eukaryota; Metazoa; Chordata; Mammalia; Artiodactyla; Camelidae. The record is from Rfam by way of RNAcentral.